Long non-coding RNA from Gallus gallus (chicken), 8482 nucleotides. RefSeq lists it as uncharacterized. Lineage: Eukaryota; Metazoa; Chordata; Aves; Galliformes; Phasianidae. The transcript has 3 exons. The record is from RefSeq and is a predicted model, not a curated record.
CUCCCUGGUACAGAACUUUGUUUUAUGUUAAGCGUCUCUACCAACAGAAGCUUGCUGAAAGCUUGCAGAGCCUGUGAGACUGCUCCCUGGCUGCCUGGGAUGUGAUUAUUUCACACCCCUGAACACUCAGAAUUUUCUCCAAACUGAGCACUAAGAGAAAACGUCAGAGUUUCUUAACAGUUUCGGAGACAUGAUAUGAAAAGACAUAAGCAGGUUUUCACACUGUGAUAAGAAAGCCAGAGGGACCGGGAGGGCUCAGAUGACUGAAGACGAGUGAUGGGGCCUCGCUUCUGGAAACAAGGACUCUGAGCACAGCCUCCCAGGUUAUAGACAAUUUUCAGAGGAUGGACAGAAAACUUGCAGCUGAGCUCCUUGAGCAUCCUGAGCAGAAGUGAAAGGAGAAGAUGGAGGAAUUUGGUAACAAACUACUGGGUGGGUCAGCAAGGUAGGAUGAGUGACUUGCAAAGCAUUGAGUGACCCCUGGAGAAGCAGAAACAUUAACCAGCAUUUCAUUAGAAAUUAAUACAUUUUUAGGAAAUUGAGAGAGAGAGAGACCACAGUCAGUAGAUUGUUAAAUGAAAAAACACAGGAAAAAGUGAUGAAAUUAGGAAAAAACUUCAUCCUUGCAGAGCCUCCAUCUCAAGAACAAAACUAAUGAAGGCACUGAAAGAUGUAGAGAGGAGGAAAAAAAAAUGUAUCAUCUGUACAGCAGUGCCAGGGGCCGAGUAAUAGAGAGAAUAGGAAUUGUUCAUUUUAUGAGCAUAAACAGACUAAAUGGCAUUAAAAAGGGCUGGUGGGAAGAUCUGCAUGAAAGGAAUAUUGAAGUCAAUGAUUUUAACCUAGCUAGGAAUGCUCAAAAGGACAGAAAGGAAGGGGGAGUAGUGCUCUUUGUCAAAAAAAGACAUUUUCAAGUACGGAAUCAACGACAAUUUUAAAAUUAAUAGUUAAAUUGUGGGUUAAUUUUCUGUCAUAUAAAGAAGAUAAUUCCUCCUGUCUAGAGGGAAUGGGCUGACAGAAACUUCAUGGAUUUCACCAAAGACAAAGGUCCUGUACUUGGGCUAGAAAGAUCCUCUCCCUCAGUACUGCAUAGUGUAGUGGCUCUGCUGGUAAGGAAGUGGGUAACAGCAUGUGACCCAUGUCCCACAGUGCAGCCCCUGGAGCAAGGAAGGCUGAUGCCAUACCAGGCUACACCAGCAGGAGCAAAACCAGUGGAUGAGGAAAAGGAUUAUCCCUUUUGCUCUGCUUGUAGCUAAUCACAUAGAAUGUCUUGGGGUUGGAAGGAAUCUUAAAAACCAACUAAUUCCAAACCCCCUGUUGUGGAAGGGGUUGCCAACCACUAGAUCAGGUUACCAAGAGCACCAUCCAACCUGGCCUUGAAUCCGUUCAGGGAUGGGAUAUCUGCAUCUUCUCUGGGCAACUUGAAACUAGAACAGCACAUUCAACUUUGAACUCCCUGAUAAAAGUGACAAAUAGGAUCAAGUUCAGCAGAGGGCCACCAAGAUGUCCAGGGGCUGGACACAAUGGGCAUAAAUCCAGCAGGAAAACAGGGCUCAGAUUAGAUAUACAGAUAGAUAAAAAGCAGUGCAGAAGCACAGAGGGGUGGUUCAGCCUCCAUCUCAAGGGGUUCAAGACCUGAGGACAACUCUGAACAACCUAAUCUGUAUUUGUUAUUUACCCUGCUCUGAGCAAGAUGCUCUGAUUCUAUGAACAUUACUAGGUAUGUGUAGAUCACACUAGAAAACAGCUCUCCUGGUAUUAGUCUGUAACUUAUAAAAAAAACCUCCCCUUAUCCAUCCUGCUAGAGUUAGGUUAGUCCAAUGUGCUGAGGACACCUAGAUCUCCUUACAGGUUCUCAGCACUUACAGUGAUGUGCAGUAUAACUCAAAAAAUUGCCUUUAAGGAACAAAGAUACAGCAGUGGGUUUUUUUUUUGUUUGUUUGGUUGGUUGGUUGGUUGACUGGUUGGUUUGGGUUUGUUUGUUUUGUGAUCAAUGAACUUAAAUCUGGGACUACUUGAUUACAUGACUUAUGUACACACCAAGUAAGGCCAUCAGCACUACUAGAUACACUUGGUGGAUUAGAAAGGCCAUAUACAUGAAGCUGAAGACACGCGGGAACAGCCAUGUAUCAAAUAAGACAGGACAAAAAAUUGUAGUCAUGAACUCUGAAUGACAAUCAAGUGUUAUUUAAAAAAAAAAUAGAGCCAAGAAAGCUGGACUAGUUAAAAAAGGUAGUACAAAGUAAGCCAAGGCAGCAAUAUAGCGACAGCAAGAGAGGGGAACUUGGGAGAAAUGAAUACUAGUUAGGAGAUGACAUUGUAGAAAAUUUGUAAGAGAAUGGAAUGAACCCCAAAUGGUACAACAAAAAAGAAAACAUAAUUGUCAGGAACUGUUUAAACAGGCAGAAACCUCAAUUUUUUAUGGGGAAGGUCAGAUGGUACAUUUGUACUACAGAUGAUAAUGAGCUGUUUUCAACUGCAGCUGUGAUCAAGUAUUUGCGGCUGUAUCUACCAAAGUAGGGAUAUUCUAAGAUAAGCAGGCCCGGACAACUUAUAUCCAAGAGUUUUAAAAGAGAUGGCCAGAGAAGUCCUGCACCAGUGCUGUUGAUUUUCAAUUAGUCUCAGAAAACUGGGAGAGCAUCCAAGGGCCAGAGAAAUUCUGAUGUCGUGCCAGUGCUUUGAAAAACACAGUGAUCUCAAUGGGCUGACUGGACUGAUGCAAUGAAAUCACCAAUACGUGGCUUUGAUAGAUUACGGAUUAAAAGCGGGUAAUAAAAUUAGCCAUAAUCAACACAGGUUUAAAGAAAAAUAGACAUCAUCAAACUAAUGCGCUAUAAUUUCUUAUGAGAUUACAAGUCUGGUUCACACAAGUAAUUAUGCUGAUACGACUGGAAUGAUAGGAAAUCAUCAUGACAUACAUUAGAGAGAAACAGGCUAAGUAAUAAGCCUCACAUACAACAGUAAAUGGGAACUUAUUCGUGAGCAGUUGUACUGUAAUACACAAUUCUUGUCAUGCUGUUCCUUAUUUAUUUAUCACAACCUGGCAGAAAAUUAAAAAAAAAAAACAACAUUACUGAUGGAUUUUGCAGUUGAAGCUUAUUUUUGAGAAAACAGAAAAGAAACGAAGAGGAUAAGUCAGCAGUACAGAACAGCAUGAGCUGCUUUGGAAAUGCAAAUAACAUGUAUUCCAGUAUGAACAAAUGCAACACCACACAUCUGGGAACAAAGUUUUCCGCCCCUACUAAUAGGAAGGGAUUUUCUUUCUUCAGAAGAGGAGAUUGUGAGGGGAGAAAAGCCUACAAUCAACGUGAGUUGGAGCACUGGAGAAAGGAGCUGAAUGAAUUAACAGGAAGAUGCUGUGAUAAGAUGGGUUGCCGCAACUCAUGGCUGUAGGAACAGGAAAAUUUAAGGUUGGAAUAGAUAGGCUGGAUUACCACUGUAUAAUGCACUGAAGUGACUACACAGUGUAGCAUGCCUUACUCUGCUGUUCACUGUAGCUUUUUGUUUGUUUGUUUAAAUUUAUUGAACGAGCCCGCAACUCUAUCUUAAAAUUACAAAAUACGCAUGUCAUAGAAUGGCCUGGGUUGAAAAGCACCUCAAAUAUCAUCUAGUUUCAACCCCCCCUGCUGUGGGCAGGGUUGCCAACAACUAGACCAGGCUGUCCAGAGCCACAUCCAGCCUGGCCUUGGAUGCCUUCAGGGAUGGGGCAUGCCACUCCUCUCCAAAGGCAAGUUUGGGAUGGGAUUUGAUCACAGUUUACAAGACAUACAUGGAAAGCUGUGGCGUGAUGGUGGAGAAGAGGCAAAGAUGGGACAUUCUGUGAAAGAUAUACCAGCCUCUUCUCAGCUACUGAGCUAGUUAAAGAAAGGUUUUGGAUAUAUUCUACACACAAACUUGUAAUCACAAUAAUUCCCCUGGCCAUGCAGUGAAGACCUCUCCCCCUUAAACUACCUAUGGUCUGUACAAGUAUAUUCCAUACUAGAACACGUCAAGGGGAUGCUACAGAAGUGGUCAGAGAUAUUUCCUGCCUCUAAUCACUAACUAAAGCACUUGGCUGCAAAGUACAAGAGAGGCCGAAUGAGCACUCAGUGGUGGAAUUGACAUCCCAAGGCCAGGCAGGACUCUUAGGACAGAGUCAUGUAAAGGGAUGCCUCUUUCCCACAGGGACACUGGCAUCAUCUCCAACCACAUGUAAACACAACCGCAAUUCACAGAGUGGAGCAAGCAGGAGAAAUUGCUCACUCUUCGUUGCUAGAGAAAUGCCUGAUUUAAAAAGCUGAUGAGCACCAACCUAGAAAUAAUUGACAUCUCCUAAAUUCACACAUGUAGAGAUGCUGGCUGAAGUUUCCAGUGUCAAUGGUGUCCAGAUGAUCUCGGCUUUCAAAAAAUAGUAGUCUCAGCUUUAGGAAUCUGCCCUUUAAGUACCUUCAGAGCAAGCCCUCCAAAAGCACCCAUCACUGUGGGAAACAGACGACGACAGACACAACCUAAACACAAAUGCAGGGGAAGAGGGUCUCCCACCAAGACAGCUGGUGACAAGCACCACCUGCAUGAGAUAUAUCAGGGAACCUGAAACCUCCCAUCAGCAGUGAGCGAUGGGAACUGAAGUGUCUGCAAGCCAAGUGUGAGCCCCUGUUGCUUGUGUGCAUAAGAGCCUAGGCAUUCAACCCAAAUUACCUCUCUUGGUUUUAGGACCACUGAGGGGAACAAUGGAGAACACUGAGAUAGGAGUAAUUUGUCUGGGGGGUUUUGUGCAUUUUUUUUUUUUCCUAAUCCUUAUUGAAAAAAAUGUGUUGAGGGUUGUUGGGGGAGGGAGUGUGUGAGAGGGGAGAAAGUUCUGGUGAUGUCAGCUCCUAUUGCCAUGGAAACUGAGCAUUUUUAGUGACAAUUGAGCCUUCCUCAAGCUGCUGGGUUGCGUGGGGGGCAGGGGCAAGCAGGGCAGGGGCACACAAGGGAAUUCAGCUAACUAAAACUAUAGCUUCUGGCUUUCCAAGGAAGUGAGGAGAAACUACAUAGGAGUGCCUGAACACAUGGCUUACGUAACCAAAGCACCGUCUGGGGCAACAGCAGCAAAUAAUCAUUGCACUCUUCGAUAAAAUACACUGUCACACUGAUAGCCAGUACCUCAGCCACCCAGGACCACCCAACAGAAGUGUCCCUCACCUGCACUAUGCUUUUCCAGGCUACAGUUCAUCCUCCCAACCUUUGGUGCCUUGCUUGGGGUGCUGCUUGGGUAUAUAUUUGGAAAGAGAGAAAGGGAGAAGGAGCUGGGAAGUACAGUUCGUAUUCUCAAAUCUGAGAGACACUCAAAUGUCAUCCACACAGUGCAUUACUUUUCAUCAUCUGGAUGUUUUUUAGGGGGUCGAAUUUACGAUCUCUCUUGCAGCCCCUGAAAGCUCAGGACCAUGCAAAGGUGGAGGCCUUUAGAAAAAUACUGACGAGUGGCUUUUCAGGAUCUACCUCAUUGGCAAAAAGAAAAUACACCAGGCCUUAUGCAGGAGGCUUUGAAGGCUAAGGCACAGUUUGGACCCAGAGCAAGCUAAUCCAGAUGUGAGACCAAUCAGGAUGAAGCCUGGGGCUUAAAUCUGAGGUUAAAUAAAAGCCUAUGUUCUGUCCAUAAGGGCAAAUUUGAGCCUCUGCUUGGAUUUGAUUUAAGCAGUGCAGACAAUUUUAAUGAAUUUCAAAGAAUAAUGAAUUAAUAACCACAAGCUUUUAUAACUCAAAAUACAUUAUAUAGUCAUUAGUUCUAUAUAACUAAAUGGAAAAAUCUUUCUUUAGCAGAUGAAGUCUUUUGAGAUCAGAUAUUCUAAUGAGAUUACUAUCAUUUCAGCCUGACACCUCAUGAGAACAAUUGUAUAGAAAUCAGGAAACAAAUUUCUUUCGGUUCUGGACCUGAAAUGAAAAAAUCCUCCACAGUGAUUAUUUUAUACCUAAGGAGUUGAUUUUAAGUCUCCUUGGCAAUGAAAGGAGUUCAGAUAUGAGCUUCAUUUCUAAUACUGCUAUCAGAUGUGCAAAAGACACUCUCUCUCUUCUCAAAUUUCUCCCAGCAAUGAUAGCAGAGGGAAAGGUAUAAAUGGGUAUAAAGAUAUAAAUUUCUGAUCUAGGUAGAGAGGAUUUCACAGAAUCACAGGAUGGUUUGGGUUGGACCUCUGGGUCCGCCUGGCCCAACCCCUGCACCGGCAGGGAUGCCCAGAACAGGGUGCUUAGGGCCAUUUCCAGGUGGGUUUUGGAGAUCUCCAAGGAGGAGACCCCACAGCCUCUGGGCAACCUGUGGCAGCGCUCCAUCAUCUGCCCCAUAAGGAAAUGUCUGAUGUUCAGAUGGAGCCUCCUAUGGUGCAGUUUGUUGCAUGAAGGAAACAAGUGAAAGAGGCGAGCACAAUUCCUUGCUUUCAUUUAGCACUGCCCCACCAAUUUCUUCAUCACUCCAGACUGCACUGCUCACACACCACGCUUGCAGGUAUGCCAGGCAGAGAAAUAUCCCCCAGUUCCCAAGCCUUUCCUCCAGUGCAACGGCUAUCCUGCACCCACCUGGAGCAAAGCCACCCUCCCACCCCAUAUGCAGCACAUCCCAAAGGAGGAGUACCAUGGGCUCUGAAUUCUCCUUUCCAAACAGUUCCCAUAAUGCAGGCCUAUUCUAAAUCACAUGCUAAUCACAGCAGACUCAGCCACAAGAAAGGUUCCCAUCUCAUGCACAUUGCUGAAGCUCACAGAAAGCUGCAGCUUUCAUCUGCCCAUCCUCCUUUCACAUACAGGCCAGCUGAGGAUCAGCCUUCACACUUUUACAACUGAACGGAGUUUGAAAAUUCCAGCUCCCCCCAGAAGCAAACAAUUACACACCCCUCCAGAGGAACGACUUCCAAAUCUUUCUGUAGAACAACUGUGUCAGAAGCAAAUGUAAAGACAGCGCUGCUCUGCACCUCAGGGAAAAGCUCUGCAAAGCGAGCUUGAACUCACUGUUAGCUCCGUCAGCAGUGCACUUGCAGGUGACAGCAAAUGCUGGUAAUGCCUUGGGGAGCGGGAGAAGGAAGUCGGGGGGGUUUCUCUGAAAAGAUUUUCACCCCUUUUCUGUAAGAACAUUAAUAUUACAUAAUUUUUCUGACUUCUUUUAUUAUACCACAAGGCAACGUGAUUGAAAAUGGACAAAUUCCAAAAAAGAAUGCAUGCCCACUGAUAUCACAGAGGGAUGCUUUGCUGUGAUUUAAUAGCCAAAUCCUGGUAGGUUUUCCACUUCACACACGCAGAGGGGAAAUAAGAGCUUCUCCAUAGCAACUUUGUUGUAAAAAAACACUGAAAUGUCAGCUCGUCCCAAUAGUACCAUGGUUGAGGCCAGUGCAAUACCAAGACAAAAGGACCAGAGUAAAUAAAUAAAUAAAUAAAUAAAUAAAUUCUACACUGAAAUGCUGCUGCUGGAAACAGAGAAGCUGGCUUAGCUCUGAUAAAGGCAGUUAUUAACAAAAUAACUCCAUUAACAAAAUCACUUCUAGGCUAGCUCUUCAGCUGGUACAAGUUAACACUCCUUACUGAAGUUGUGAGAUAGACAGCUGCACAUCAGCUAAGCUACCUUGCCUACUGUUUCUUCCCCAGGACGCCUCAUUCAAGUUUUUCAAAUUUACCAUAGUGGGACCAGAGUGGAAACUUUUAUAUCAGUUGCAUCAUGGCAAAUCCAAAGUAGCAUUCAUUGGCUUUGCAAGGAUUUACUUUCACCCUUCCAUCAGGAUUUGAGAGGCUUAACCUGGCUUGGUAUACUUAGGGAAAAACAUGGACAGUUGCCAAUAACCUUCAUUUGCUUUCGGACGGGGAGCACGUUUCAGUUUCAGAAGACAUUUCAACAAAGAGAACAAAUAAACACGAACUAUCAACCUACCCAGCCAUGACAAUGAAGAAAUCCAGGCGGUUCCAGGUAUCCCCAAGGUAACACUUCUUGCCAAAGAUCCCCAGGGCCACCAUCUUCAACACCAUUUCCAUUGCAAAGAAGAUGAAGAUGAAAUCAUCAAAUACCUGCCAAACAGAGAGCCAACAAGAAGUGUGACACACGUUCUCAGCUUGAGACUUCUCGGUGCAGAUAGUGAAAUAAACGUGAAUUUGAGUACUUCUGAAAACGAGUUAAAGACAAGGCAGGACAAGUUUCUUCUGCACAGAGCUGGCAUCAUAGCUACCUGCUGUCAAAGCAAGCAAGCAGAGGCUCUAUUUAUUCCUCCUACGUGAAGUACUUGAUGUAGACUCAGAGCCUCUUUGAAUGGACCUGAAAGCAGAUGUUGGCUCAGCAACAGCAGGUCCUUCCUGUGUCAGGAAGACAUGUUUUAUUCACAGAAUCAAGAGGAUUAGCAACUAGUUUGCAUUGCCUGGUCGAAGCCACUUUUCUGCCAGGGAUGUUCUCACCAAACUUUUGGCAAGGUAUUGACCAUACACUGAAAGAAAACACACGUGAAGUUUUGUGACUUGUACUAAUGCACCACCAUGACAGGAAGGAAGUCUGCUUACCUGC